RNAcentral lists this ribosomal RNA (237 nucleotides) under uncultured Glomeromycotina. Its description in RNAcentral is "partial small subunit ribosomal RNA". The stretch from base 37 to 237 matches the Rfam family "Eukaryotic small subunit ribosomal RNA", at positions 684 to 886 of the family's 1831-position model. The record is from RNAcentral. Lineage: Eukaryota; Fungi; Glomeromycota.
GGAUUAAUUUAUUGGUCGUGCUAUUGUACGUACUGGUAUUAUUGAUUCCUACCUUCUGACGAACCAUGAUGUCAUUAAUUUGGUGUCAUGGGGAAUCAGGACUGUUACUUUGAAAAAAUUAGAGUGUUUAAAGCAGGCUCACGCUUGAAUACAUUAGCAUGAAAUAACGAAAUAGGACGUUUGAUUCUAUUUUUUUGGUUUCUAGGACCGCCGUAAUGAUUAAUAGGGAUAGUUGGG